UUAAACUAAAGUGAAUGUAGUAUCAUUAAAUGAGGGAGGUGAGUGCAAUUUUUUCAAUAAAAUAUUCUUUUAUGGUAAAAUAUGUGUCUUGUUUAGAUGGAAUAUGGACUUUGAUGUCCACUACCACAUUUUCAUUUGUCACUCUUGAUUUCAAAGAACCAAUGAGAAUAUGAUAAUAAAUUGUGAUCAAUAAUUGUAAUAUUAUCUUUUAUUUAUUUAAUAACUAAUACAUUAUAGACUAAAUUAAAAUACUGCUUUCAAUGUCAUCGUUCUCAUAUUUAGCAUAAUCUUUCCCCACUAGGAUUUUUUGAGGGCCAGUUUUCUCCACUAAUAUUAGAAU
RNAcentral lists this long non-coding RNA (340 nucleotides) under Lathyrus oleraceus (garden pea). Its description in RNAcentral is "Pisum sativum (pea) long non-coding RNA (PSAT_LNC036258)". The record is from RNAcentral. Lineage: Eukaryota; Viridiplantae; Streptophyta; Magnoliopsida; Fabales; Fabaceae.